UACGAAGGGGGCUAGCGUUGCUCGGAAUCACUGGGCGUAAAGGGCGCGUAGGCGGCCAUUCAAGUCGGAGGUGAAAGCCCAGGGCUCAACCCUGGAAUUGCCUUCGAUACUGUCUGGCUAGAGACCGGAAGAGGUAAGUGGAACUGCGAGUGUAGAGGUGAAAUUCGUAGAUAUUCGCAGGAACACCAGUGGCGAAGGCGGCUUACUGGUCCGGUUCUGACGCUGAGGCGCGAAAGCGUGGGGAGCAAACAGG
Molecule: ribosomal RNA, 253 nt
Filed under: uncultured bacterium
Lineage: Bacteria
Description: partial 16S ribosomal RNA
Rfam family: Bacterial small subunit ribosomal RNA
Source: RNAcentral